Molecule: long non-coding RNA, 438 nt
Organism: Alnus glutinosa
Lineage: Eukaryota; Viridiplantae; Streptophyta; Magnoliopsida; Fagales; Betulaceae
Exons: 3
Source: RefSeq, a predicted model, not a curated record
CAAUAAAAAAAACAAGAAAAAUGGAAGGAAAGGCCAUCAGAUCCGAGAGUGAGAAAGGAAAAAGAGUGGGGUUGGAUUUUUUUAGUAGAAAACCUUUGAUCUAUGAAGAUCUAACCGUCCAAACUCAAAUUCGAAUUCGGUAACGUGAUUUACGAAGUUCGAUCUACGUUUCUACCGAUCGUUUUGAGGCUUUGUGUUAUUUGGAGCAUGCAAAGAUUCCCCAAAUACCGGGUAUUAUUUGGGUAAAUUUUUGGACAUUGAUAUUUUGGUUGCAGGUUUUACGGAUAUAGAUAUUGACUCGUCCACCUAGCGUAUGGGAUGCUAUGAUUGGAGCAUAUCGUGACAGUCAUAAGCCACAGACUCAUAGGUAAUCUGUAUUUUGGGUAUUUUAUUUAUGGCUCGUGUCCUAUGUGGCAUAUGUCUUUGGUUGAGCCUGUA